RNAcentral lists this ribosomal RNA (672 nucleotides) under uncultured bacterium. RNAcentral's name for it is "bacterial SSU rRNA". It matches the Rfam family "Bacterial small subunit ribosomal RNA", at positions 59 to 742 of the family's 1533-position model. The record is from RNAcentral.
CAGUCGACGGUAUGUGGCAACCAUAGAGUGGCGAACGGGUGAGUAACACGUGGGAACGUAUCUUUUGCAGGGGGAUAACUGACCGAAAGGACAGCUAAUACCGCAUAAGUCCGAGAGGAGAAAGGUGCAACAGCAUCGGCAGAAGAGCGGCCCGCGGUCCAUCAGCUAGUUGGUGAGGUAAGGGCUUACCAAGGCGACGACGGAUAGCCGGCGUGAGAGCGUGGCCGGCCACAAGGACACUGAGAUACGGGUCCUACUCCUACGGGAGGCAGCAGUGCGGAAUUUUAGAUAAUGGAGGGAACUCUGAUCUAGCGACGCCGCGUGCAGGAAGAAGCUCUUCGGAUUGUAAACUGCUGUGGUAAGGGAAAAAUGCUAUGUAGGGUGGAAAGCUACAUAGAGGGAUGGUACCUUACUAGAAAGCCCCGGCUAACUACGUGCCAGCAGCCGCGGUAAUACGUAGGGGGCGAGCGUUACCCGGAAUCACUGGGCGUAAAGGGAGCGUAGGUGGCCUAACAUGUCAACUGUGAAAACCCGGAGCUCAACUCCGGACUUGCAGUUGAAACUGGUAGGCUUGAGGACGGUAGAGGAAGACGGAACUGCCAGUGUAGGGGUAAAAUCCUUAGAUAUUGGCAGGAACGCCGGUGACGAAGGUGGUUUUCUGGGCCGGUUCUG